UACGUAGGGACCAAGCGUUGUUCGGAUUUACUGGGCGUAAAGAGCUCGUAGGCGGUUCGGUAAGUCGGAUGUGAAAACUCAGGGCUCAACCCGGAGACGCCAUCCGAUACUGCUGUGACUUGAGUCUGGUAGGGGAACACGGAAUUCCUGGUGUAGCGGUGAAAUGCGCAGAUAUCAGGAGGAACACCGAUGGCGAAGGCAGUGUUCUGGGCCAGUACUGACGCUGAGGAGCGAAAGCGUGGGGAGCAAACAGG
Molecule: ribosomal RNA, 254 nt
Filed under: uncultured bacterium
Lineage: Bacteria
Description: partial 16S ribosomal RNA
Rfam family: Bacterial small subunit ribosomal RNA
Source: RNAcentral